Molecule: long non-coding RNA, 2273 nt
Organism: Ostrea edulis (European flat oyster)
Lineage: Eukaryota; Metazoa; Mollusca; Bivalvia; Ostreida; Ostreidae
Exons: 3
Source: RefSeq, a predicted model, not a curated record
UUGUCUUAUAUGCAAACGUUUCUUGUAUGAGAAGUUACUCCCAACACGUUUCUGAUAUAUCAAUGUAGGAACUUCAAACAACGACACAUACUGUACAUGUAUGUCAUCGCACUUUUAUAUUUACUGUAGCUGAUCGCAAUAAUUAUGAUAUUUUUUUUAAAAAUGCAAUGACAAUCGGGAUCAGGAGAUUCAGGGCGAUUUCAUGGUAACAAUAUAAUAUGAAAGGUGAAAAUAACGAACAGUGCUCAAUCUCAUAAAUCGGAUAUCAUCAGUAUAAGUAUCAUCAUCGUACAACGUAUAUAUGAAAAUGUUGAGUGAUUCGAUAUAAAAAAGUUAUGCUACAUGAUUUUCUGACAAGACCAUUUUCACCACUUGUCAAUAAAGACAAACAUUAUGGCAUAUCCCCCGGAAUACAAAUACAACAACCUGUCCAUCGUCACGUUCUGUUUUAUUGUGACGUCAUUUGGUGAGAAAUGUACAGAGGUAUAUUUAUACUGCACUAUGAGUGUUCUUAGGAAUCUAUGUGGAUAAGAUUGUGAAUAUGCUAUCUAUUCAACUAUGGAUUUAAUCAGGUAAUCUGAUGUUUUUAAAAUUCAUUUAAACCAAUUUUACUAUUUUUUUCAGAUUGUGAGAGAGGGUACUACCUGAGUGUUAAGAACCCAGAGCUACAUAAUCGAAACAACUCUGCCUGUUGGCCUUGUGGAAACUGCAUAGAUAAUGUACCCUGUAACACCACAACUGGCCAAUGUUCUGACGGAUGCAAGGCCAACUACAAACCGCCCUACUGCACAGAAUUGAUUACAGGUGACAAUGCGGUCCAAACCACAAGAAUUAUCAUUGCCAUCCUUACCACAGUCUCAAUUGUUGCUAUAGCAACAAUUAUUGGGAUGAUUUUCCGUCAAAGGUUGAAGAGACGAUCGGAAAGCAAACCACCUGAACCCGAGAAUGAAUGCAACAGGACUAUGGAUGCCACCCGACAGCGACUGCGAUCUGAAGGAGGACCUGAGUUCCCGUUACAUGACUAUGACAAGAUCAACACAACAAUGGAUGACCAUACUUACGAUCAGGUUGGUCUCUCGAAUGAAGACGAAUAUCAAGACGUCCAAGCCUGCGGAUCAAGCACGGGUUCUGAUCCCUGAGUCUGAGUGUGGGAUGUACUACAGAAAGAUCUGUUAACAAUUCAAUUUCUUUUGUAAAAGAAAAAAUGACUUUCAUUUGACUCUAUCACAUUUAUGUGUCGAAUAAAUUAAGUUAUCCGUAAGUUGCGCCAUAUGACGUCAUAUGUAGGACGUGAUGAUACGUUUGGAUAUUCCGUUUCCAUUCCACAGCCUCACUUCACAAUUUCUUCAUAACUACAAUAAAUCUGAUUUUCUAAAUAAAACUAAAAGGAAUGCAGGUGACAACUUCUCAUGUUAUAUAAUAAUUUGGGGGUAAUUUUGCGGGUUACACAUUUAAUACUAGUAUGUAAGUGACAGCUUCCUAUGUUAUAUAAUAAUUUGGGGGUAAUUUUGCGGGUUAUACAUUUAAUACUAGUAUAUAAGUGACAACUUCUCAUAUUAUAUAAUAAGUUGGGGGUAAUUGUACGGGUUACAUAUUUAAUAUUAGUAUGUAAAACCCGAACAUAGCCCUUCAGAAUGUCCAAAAAAGAAACCACCCAGUGUCAAAAAAAUACCUUAUGCCAGUAUAUUUGAACCCACAUCGAUUUACAAUUCACUUCGUACAGCUUCUUAUAUAUCAUAAAUAUUCCUUCCGAGAGUUUUUCGAAUGUUAUCUCUGUGUCAAAUAGAACAUAUUCAGAGUAGCAUACUAAUGAUAAAAUCAUGAUCUGAAAUCGUCAAGAAGAUGACGGCUCGGAUCUGUAAAAUUUGUAUGGUGGUCAGCAAGGGCCAUGACUUCGUGGGUGGUACGAAGAUGUUGCUCGUCUUCUUGUAGAGAAAUGCGGCUUAGUGUGUGGGGUUCCUUUUAUAUUUUGUAUAAUUUAUAUCUUAAUGAAUGAUUUUGUAAAUAGCAUUACUAGUUUCUAUACUGUAUUAUUCUUUUUAUUAUUUGUAUGCAACACGUCUGAAUAGAUUCAUUUGCUGCUACGCAUUUGCAUUGUACAGAUCUUUUUCUCUAAACUCUUUGAUACAGAAGAUUAAUGAUGAGUACUGAUCCACUGAUUGUAAAAUUGUUCUAGGUCACAUCAAAGAAAUACCAUCCAAUAAAAGCAUCCAUGCUUUGUAUUGAUUGUAUGUUGGUGUAUUUCAUGAUAACAGAUACAUGUAUGAACAGUG